CAGCAGCCAGCCAUCACUAACAGAAGUAAGGGGAGAAGUCUUAGCAACUUCAUUAGACAUUGUGAGCAAUCAGAAAAUAGACUAAUACAGGGACAGGUGCCUGACAUGGAAGGAACAUCCAUCUUGGACUACAUGGAGUGAAAAGCAAGGGCUGAAUACGAUGGAACAAGAAGACGGAAGACGCCUGUCUUCUCAGGAUGGUGGUGCCAUUAUGCCAGCUGAAUCUAUGUGCAACAAAAAGAAACCAAGACAAGUAUCCACAAAAGGAGAAACAUGGGCCGGGCGCGGUGGCUCACGCCUAUAAUCCCAGCACUUUGGGAGGCCGAGGUGGACGGAUCACAGGGUCAGGAGAUUGAGACCAUCCUGGCUAACAUGGUGAAACCCCGUCUCUACUAAAAUACAAAAAAAAAAUUAGCUGGGCGUGGUUGCGGGCGCCUGUGGUCCCAGCUAUUCGGGAGGCUGAGGCAGGAGAAUAGCACCAACCCGGGAGGCGGAGCUUGCAGUGAGCAGAGAUUGCGCCACUGCACUCCAGCCUGGGCAACACAGACUCCGCCUCAAAAAAAAAACAAAAAACAAAAGGAGAAAUACAGGAUGUUUUACAGUGCUUGUGGUGCUUGAUUUUUAUAUCUUGUCAUUAAGCUAUGCCUUUAUUUCCUUUGUGUUAAACCUCUAUUCUUGUUUACACCUGUUUUCUAUCUGUAGUUCAAAAACAUAAUGAAUAUUUCAUCUAUGUAGUUUCUUUGUAAAGUCUUUUGAGCUCUAACCUCUCAAAGGACAGCCACUCAAUAUGGUCUGUUUAUUUAUCUAUCUAUUUAUUUAUUUAUUUAUUUAUUUAUGUAUAGACAGAGUCUGGCUCUGUUGCCCAGGAUGGAGUGCAGUGGUGUGAUCUCGGUUCACUGCAAGCUCCGACUCCCAGGUUCACACCAUUCGCCCGCCUCAGCCUCCCGAGUAGCUGGGACUACAGGCGCCCGCCACCACGCCCAGCUAAUUUUUUUGUAUUUUUAGUAGAGACGGGGUUUCACCAUGUUAGCCAGGAUGGUCUCGAUCUCCUGACCUCGUGAUCUGCCCGUCUCAGCCUCCCAAAGUGCUGGGAUUACAGGCGUGAGCCACCACACCAGGCCCAUCAAUAUGGUUUGAACAUGCAUCACACAUGCUGAGGCCGGGCACGGUAGCUCACGCCUGUAAUUCCAGCAUGUUGGGAGGCUGAGGUGGGCAGAUCACUUGAGGUCGGGAGUUCGAGACCAGCCUGGCCAACAUAGUGAAACCCCGUCUCUAAUAAACAUAUAAAAAUUAGCCAGGGGUGGUGGCACACACAUGUAGUUUCAGCUACUCAGGAAGCUGAGGCAGGAGAAUCGCUUGAACCUGGGAGGAGGAGGUUGCAGUGAGCAGAGAUCAUGCCGCUGCACUCCAGCCUGGGCAACAGAGCAAGACUUUUUAAAAAAUUUAAAAAUAAUAGUAAAUAGAUAAAUACCCAUCACGUAUGCUGAAUAUGUAGAAAUUGGAUGGCUACUAAAAAUCAUAUGCACAUGGACUCAGCUAUUCGUACACCAAAGUUUAUAGCAGCAUUAUGCAUGAUAGCCAAAAGAUGGAAACAACCUAGCUGUUCAUGGAUAGGAAAACGUGACGUAUGCACACUAUGGAAUAUUAUUCAGCCCUUAAAAGAAAUAAAAAUUUUUACACAUUCUACAACAUAGAUGAACCUGGAAGACGUUAUGCUAAGUUAAAUAAGCCAGACACGAAAGAACAAAUACUGUAUACUUCCACUUACAUGAGAUAACCAGGGGAGUCAAAUUCAUAGAGACAGAAAGUAGCAUGUUGCAAUGGGGAGCAAUUGUUUAAUGGGUACAGAUUUUCAGUCUGGGAAAAUUCAUUUAGCUCCCACUUAUAAGUGAGAAUAUGUGGUAUUUGGUUUUCUGUUCCUGCAAAAUUUUGGACAUGGCUGGUGGUGAUGGUUGCAAAACGAUAUUAAUGUACUUAAUGCCAGUCAACUAUACACCUAGAAACGGUUAAAACAGACAAUUUUAUGGUAUGUAUGUUUUACAUAGCUUAAAAAAAAUCAAAUGUGCUUAUUUGGUCCAGACAAAUGUUAGCAAUGCUCUGAUUUUCCCUCGUGUUCCAGUAUUUUGCCACAUACCUAGUGGGAGAUCAUUACAUUACUAAAAGAGAAAAAUCUGCUAUGGAGAUUGUGUAACGUGCACCCAUGUAUAGAAAAAUGAACCACAAUGUCUAGAAAGCAAAAUCCUGGCCAGACACAGUGGCUCACACCUGUAAUCCCAGUGCUUUGGGAGGCCGAGGUGAGCGGAUCACCUGAGUUCAGGAGUUCAAGACAAGCCUGGGCAACAUCGUGAAACCCUAUCUCUACUAAAAAUACAAAAAUUAGCUGGGCAUGGUGGCGGGCGCCUGUAAUCCCAGCUACUCAGGAGACUGAGGCAGGAGAGUUGCGUGAACCCAGGAGACAGAGUUUGCAGUGAGCCAGGAUCACGCCUGUGCACUCUAGCCUGGGCAAUAAGAGGGAAACUUGGUCUCAAAAAAAAAAAAAAAAGAAGAAGAAGAAGACUGACUUCAUUUAAAAGUAUGAUUUUUAUCUUUAUAUAUAUUUCUUCUUUCGUUUUUUUCUUUCUGUUUUUUCUUUUCUUUUUUACUUAUUUUUUUGGGGAGGACAGGGUAUUGCUCUGUCACCCAUGCUGGAGUACAGUGGUGAGAUUAUGGCUCACUCCAGCCUUGAGCCCUUGGGCUCAAGCAAUUCUCCUGCCUCAGCCUCCCGAGUAGCUGGGCCUACAGGCACACACCACCAUGCUUGGCUAAUUUUUUUAUUUCUUUGUAGAGAUGGGAGUCUAUGUUGCCCAGGCUGGUCUUGAACUCCUAGACUCAAGUGAUCCACCUCGGCCUCCCAAAGUGCUGGGAUCACAGAUGUGAGCCACUGUGACUGGCUAUAAUGUUAUUUACUAUUGCAAAAGCAAAAUGUAGCUAUUAUAGAAAAAUCAGAAAAUGCAUGCAGAGCGAAUAAAUCCUAGGGGCACACGCAGACCAAUGGCCACACAUAAUUCUACCAAAGAAGUAGCAUGUCUGCCUCUAGAGACACUGGCCCAAUAUGUCCAUCAUCUACAGCCCAUUUCCCUCAGAUCCAUCCUUCCAACCUUCUCUGUGAUGCUCUGUCCCCUUAGAGUUGGCCCUCACAUGCUGUAUCACCCAGGUCCUUCUGGUUGGGCAUACCAAGGGAGUAGCGAAUUAUCGGAAAAAAAUUCAGAAGAAAGAAUUCCCAGAAAGAAUUUAACACUUCCCCCAAUAGCAGAUCUUGAAAGAAUAAUUUGAAUGUAAGCAGUUUAUUUGGGAAAUGAUCCCAAGAGAGUGUAGUGGGGAAAUGAGGACGUCAGAUAGAAAAGAGAAGAAACCAAACAAAUGGUUGUUACCAAGUUACCCCUGUAGGCAAUUGGAGUUUAAUUUCUGGGGAAAUCUUGGAAAUAGUGAGGAACAUGGACCUGUGAGCUGUCCCACUUGAGGGUGGGGAAGUUCCAGUAUGUAUCGCUACUUCCCAUCUGUCAUCAGCUGAGGACUUACUCCGGGAUGGUGUACAUGAAAUGUGAGGUCUGAGGAGCUAUGGGGCAGAUGGUCGAGGGGACCACCUAGUGGGACGUGAAGACAAGAGAAAAAUAGAGAAAGGCCAAAGGGUCAAAAAGCUACACAAUAAUGCUGUAAACAAGUACUGAACUGUGCCCAUCAAUUUCUCAAAAGGAGUAGCUGGAUGGACCAUUUCAGUGGAACAGCAGGAGCUAAAGCCAGAAUGCUUCAGAGUAAGAAGUAGAGAUCAUGUGUGGGGACAAUUCUUUUUUUUUUUUUUUUAAACGGAGUCUCACUCUGUCACCCAAGCUGUAGUGUUGUGGUGUGACCUCGGCUCACUGCAACCUCCGCCUCCCAGGUUCAAGCUAUUCUCCUGUCUCAGCCUCCUGAGUAGGUGGCAUGUGCCACCAAGCCUGGCUAAUUUUUGUGUUACACGGGAUUUCACCACGUUGGCUAGGCUGGUCUCAGUCUCCGAAAGUGCUGGGAUUGCAGGCGUGAGCCACCAUGCCCAGCCAGUUCUUUACAACGCUUGAUUCUGAAAGGAAAGAAAGAAAGAGGGCUGUAGCCAAAAGGCUGUGAGGUUAGAGCAAUGUUUUUCAAACUGGGGUCCUUGACAGAUUCUCAGUCUGUAAGACCUGAGAAUUUUAAAAGACACACACAGACACACACACACACAUACACACACACAGUGUCCCCUGGAUGCCAAUUUCUAAGUGAAUAUUGCUUCCAAGUUUCAGUUCCUCUGUUUAUAUUUGUGUUUACAAUCAAGUUGUAGCCAGGCAGUAAUACUUUAAAGAUCAUUUUCUUUCUUUUUUUUUUUUUUUUUAACUGAGUUUCGUUCUUAUUGCCCAGGCUGGAGUGCAAUGGUGUGAUCUCCGCUCACAGCAACCUCCGCCUCCCGGAUUCAAGUGAUUCUCCUACCUCAGCCUCCUGAGUAGCUGGGAUUAAAAGCACGCACCACCAUGCCUGGCUAACUUUUGUAU
Molecule: long non-coding RNA, 4541 nt
Filed under: Homo sapiens (human)
Lineage: Eukaryota; Metazoa; Chordata; Mammalia; Primates; Hominidae
Description: HSALNT0344975
Source: RNAcentral